CCGGGUAGCUAUGUUCGGAAGGGAUAACCGCUGAAAGCAUCUAAGCGGGAAGCCUUUCCCAAGAUUAGAUUUCACAGGUCUUGAGACCUCUAAAGACUCCUUGUAGACUACAAGGUUGAUAGGCGGGAAGUUGAAGUGCAGUAAUGUAUGAAGCAGACCCGUACUAAUAAGUCGUGAGGCUUAGCAUC
RNAcentral lists this ribosomal RNA (188 nucleotides) under Myxococcaceae bacterium. Its description in RNAcentral is "partial 23S ribosomal RNA". It matches the Rfam family "Bacterial large subunit ribosomal RNA", at positions 2741 to 2925 of the family's 2925-position model. The record is from RNAcentral. Lineage: Bacteria; Pseudomonadati; Myxococcota; Myxococcia; Myxococcales; Myxococcaceae.